AGUGAACGCUGGCGGUAGGCCUAACACAUGCAAGUCGAACGGCAGCACAGUAAGAGCUUGCUCUUACGGGUGGCGAGUGGCGGACGGGUGCGGAAUACAUCGGAAUCUACUUUUUCGUGGGGGAUAACGUAGGGAAACUUACGCUAAUACCGCAUACGACCUACGGGUGAAAGCAGGGGAUCUUCGGACCUUGCGCGAUUGAAUGAGCCGAUGUCGGAUUAGCUAGUUGGCGGGGUAAAGGCCCACCAAGGCGGCGAUCCGUAGCUGGUCUGAGAGGAUGAGCAGCCACACUGGAACUGAGACACGGUCCAGACUCCUACGGGAGGCAGCAGUGGGGAAUAUUGGACAAUGGGCGCAAGCCUGAUCCAGCCAUACCGCGUGGGUGAAGAAGGCCUUCGGGUUGUAAAGCCCUUUUGUUGGGAAAGAAAAGCAGCAGGUUAAUACCCCGCUGUUCUGACGGUACCCAAAGAAUAAGCACCGGCUAACUUCGUG
RNAcentral lists this ribosomal RNA (492 nucleotides) under uncultured bacterium. RNAcentral's name for it is "partial 16S ribosomal RNA". It matches the Rfam family "Bacterial small subunit ribosomal RNA", at positions 29 to 507 of the family's 1533-position model. The record is from RNAcentral.